This is a long non-coding RNA of Toxorhynchites rutilus septentrionalis, 552 nucleotides long. RefSeq lists it as uncharacterized. The record is from RefSeq and is a predicted model, not a curated record. The transcript is spliced from 3 exons. Lineage: Eukaryota; Metazoa; Arthropoda; Insecta; Diptera; Culicidae.
CCCCCGCAGGCAGUACUGUCUAUAGUUGAACUAUGAUUGUAUGCAAUUUUUUGGUACUGAGCGAAACGGCAUCACUGUAGAGAUUGCUUUUGCUCUUUCUCUCUAAAUUGUCAUUUAAAACGUAACAGAGAAUGACUCGAGAACUAAAUUUUUAACAAAUUCAACAACACGGAGACAAAAUACAGGCGAAUUUGUAGUGAACGCAGCUAGUCUUUGUUGAUAUAUCACGUCAAAGGAAGGAAAGCAGCAGCAACAGCAGAAAUGUAUAAAUGAAAAUGAAAGAAUAACGGUGAUCUGAAUGGAAUGAAAACGGAGUUUCCAGCUUUGAAUAAAAAAUUCUUCCAUCUCAACAGUCAUGAUUGCCCACGAAGUUAGGUGUGUCUGCUGGAGGGAACGAAAGGGACAAAAAUAAUUGAGCCGACUGCGAUUCCGAUGAAGAAAUUUGUAGCUGACGGGAGUUUACUGAUGACGGUAUAAUCGCUGCGAAUAGUAUACAUCAACAGUGCACAAUUGUAUGAAUUUAUUAUAAAUAAAUAUUUGUAAACAACGCAA